UUUGAAAUUUGUAGUUAAAAAUAUAGGAUUACAACUUUUAAAACAUUUUAAUUAAACCUUUAUUCAAAUAAGUGAAUAUCUCUUUAUUGAAGAAACAUUUAUGUAAACUCUAGCAUUACCCCUCUUAAAUUAAAAAAUUGAAUUUUAUAUUCAUAUAAAAACAGCUGUAUGAUAUAAUUCCAUUCUUCCAAAAUCAUUAUUUAAAGCAUAUUAGUCUGCCAACUGCCAAAUGUUUCACAUGGAAUUGUAUAUAUUAAUACUCUAGUUUUUCAUCUCCCACUCACUUCUCAUUGGACAAUAAUUUAGAUUUUAUUCCUUUUCCUUUUUUCAAAUUACUUUCUCCAAGGCGACCAAUGCCCAUCAUGUAACUAAAUCCCAUGGCAGGUAUUUUUUAGCUGCUAAGCAACAUUCAGU
RNAcentral lists this long non-coding RNA (414 nucleotides) under Pan troglodytes (chimpanzee). RNAcentral describes it as "long non-coding RNA NONPTRT001190". The record is from RNAcentral. Lineage: Eukaryota; Metazoa; Chordata; Mammalia; Primates; Hominidae.